RNAcentral lists this transfer RNA (69 nucleotides) under Podarcis lilfordi (Lilford's wall lizard). Its description in RNAcentral is "tRNA.Ala". It matches the Rfam family "tRNA". Rfam says of the family: Transfer RNA (tRNA) molecules are approximately 80 nucleotides in length. Their secondary structure includes four short double-helical elements and three loops (D, anti-codon, and T loops). Further hydrogen bonds mediate the characteristic L-shaped molecular structure. tRNAs have two regions of fundamental functional importance: the anti-codon, which is responsible for specific mRNA codon recognition, and the 3' end, to which the tRNAs corresponding amino acid is attached (by aminoacyl-tRNA synthetases). tRNAs cope with the degeneracy of the genetic code in two manners: having more than one tRNA (with a specific anti-codon) for a particular amino acid; and 'wobble' base-pairing, i.e. permitting non-standard base-pairing at the 3rd anti-codon position. Lineage: Eukaryota; Metazoa; Chordata; Lepidosauria; Squamata; Lacertidae. The record is from RNAcentral.
GUCAUAGCUCAGCAGCAGAGUGUCUGCCUUGCAAGCAGAAGUUCCUGGGUUCAAUCCCCGGUAUCUCCG